AGCGAACGCUGGCGGCGUGCUUAACACAUGCAAGUCGCGCGGGGAAAGAGACUUUCGGGUCUUGAGUAGAGCGGCGGACGGGUGCGUAAGACGCGGGUGACCUAUCCGAGAGGCGGGGAUAACCCAGCGAAAGCGGGGCUAAUACCGGAUGAGCCCCCAGGCGGAAACGCGCGGGGGCGAAAGAUGCUACUCGAUAGUGGCAUGUCCUCACGGAGGGGCCCACGGCCUAUCAGCUAGNGGUGUGGUAACGGCGCACCAAGGCGAAGACGGUAGCUGGUCUGAGAGGAUGGCCAGCCACACGGGGAC
Molecule: ribosomal RNA, 306 nt
Filed under: uncultured bacterium
Lineage: Bacteria
Description: bacterial SSU rRNA
Rfam family: Bacterial small subunit ribosomal RNA
Source: RNAcentral